CAGAGGGGCAGGAAGUGAGCCAUUUCGAGGGCACUCCUGUGUCACCCUGUGCUGUUGGAGUCGCCGAGGAUACAGUGUACAGGUAGCGGGAUAGCCGGUUGCCAGCACAGGCUGGGUUGAGAAACCUCCAAGCAUUGCUGCCUGCUACUUCUCUCCCCAAGCCCGGCGCUCAUUCCUCCACACAUGUAGUAGCCCUGUGUUCCUUUUCUCCCAACUAAAGGCAAUUCAAGAUAAAUAAAUAUGUUGAUCUUGC
Molecule: long non-coding RNA, 253 nt
Filed under: Homo sapiens (human)
Lineage: Eukaryota; Metazoa; Chordata; Mammalia; Primates; Hominidae
Description: HSALNT0298193
Source: RNAcentral